RNA transcript from Penaeus indicus, 939 nucleotides. RefSeq lists it as uncharacterized. Lineage: Eukaryota; Metazoa; Arthropoda; Malacostraca; Decapoda; Penaeidae. The record is from RefSeq and is a predicted model, not a curated record. The transcript is spliced from 5 exons.
UAUCGGUCAGCUGUCCUUUUAAAUUGCCUCUGGUGGGAUUCGUCUGCAAAUCCUACUUAUUUUGAACAGUCAGCGCGAGGUCUUCCCUAUUUUAGUGAAGUAUUACAGGCCUGGGACUAUUUUCACUGCUCUUGCCUAACCUCUCUUCAAUAUCAUGAUGGCGAGCACAGCAGCUGGAGAUUGCAGUGGCCGUGACAUGAGUUAUGUUGAGACAAUACACAAUUUUUUUUGUCAUGAUCAUAGAGCAUGUGAUUUUUUUCACAAUCACGGCACUUUGUGGAAGACUGUGUAUUGGCCUCACAGCAAGAAGCCAUGCCAACUCUGGGAGGACCAAGAGACAUGGUUUUGCACAAGUUUGACAGGAACAAGAGAGACCAAGAAUUGCUCUUUCAGGCCUUUUUAACUCCAACAUCCCAUCAUGGAAGCUGAUCUUAAGGUCUUCAAAUAAGAUUUACAGUAUCAGUGAACUGGUACAAUUUCUCCUCAGAUGUGUUGGAAAUUUGGCAUGUGAAGCAGAAUCUACCAGAUGUACUCUCCGCCACUUCUUCAUUCAGCUUGCCCAGCUUUAUUUGCUGCAACAAGAGGAGAAUGCCAUCUUCAUGCUCUGAUCCCAGCUGAGCUUGAGGGAAAUCCAGAUGAAAUAAUAGAAUACUGUCCACCUCCAAGCAGAGAUGUGUAGUGCCAGAUGGUCAUCUAAUUGUCGCACACAUUGCAGUUAACAGGCUCAGAUGACCUGCAUCAAGGGCAGCAGAAUACAACAAUCAGACUUUAGAUCAUUGGCCUUGGACUGUGCUGGGGGCUGGGGACAUGCACAACCUUCUGAGGCUAAAGAUGUCCUUAACAGGGAAUAAGUGGAGUAUCUGCCCCGGCUGGACCAAAGAAACUUGCAGAAUUUUAUGGUGUCUAAGAGAUUACAAACUUUGGCAACAUGCAUCCCAA